RNAcentral lists this ribosomal RNA (235 nucleotides) under uncultured bacterium. Its description in RNAcentral is "partial 16S ribosomal RNA". It matches the Rfam family "Bacterial small subunit ribosomal RNA", at positions 99 to 334 of the family's 1533-position model. The record is from RNAcentral.
CAAACGGGUGCGUAACACGUGAGCAACCUACCGAAAUGUAGGGGAUAGCCGGCCUAACGGCCGAGUAAUACCGCAUACGCUUUCCGAGAGGCAUUUCUUGGAAAGGAAACCUACGGGACAUUUCGAGGGGCUCGCGGCCUAUCAGCUAGUUGGCGAGGUAACGGCUCACCAAGGCAACGACGGGUAGCUGGUCUGAGAGGAUGGCCAGCCACAUUGGGACUGAGAUACGGCACAG